Molecule: ribosomal RNA, 425 nt
Filed under: uncultured bacterium
Lineage: Bacteria
Description: bacterial SSU rRNA
Rfam family: Bacterial small subunit ribosomal RNA
Source: RNAcentral
AGGGAAUCUUCCACAAUGGGUGCAAACCUGAUGGAGCAAUGCCGCGUGAAUGAAGAAGGUCUUCGGAUCGUAAAGUUCUGUUAUUAGAGAAGAACAAGUCAAGGAGUAACUGUCUUGACUUUGACGGUACCUAACCAGAAAGUCACGGCUAACUACGUGCCAGCAGCCGCGGUAAUACGUAGGUGACAAGCGUUGUCCGGAAUUAUUGGGCGUAAAGGGAGCGCAGGCGGUUGGAAUAGUCUGAUGUGAAAGCCCACGGCUUAACCGUGGAAGGUCAUUGGAAACUGUCCAACUUGAAUGCAGAAGAGGUAAGUGGAAUUCCAUGUGUAGCGGUGAAAUGCGUAGAUAUAUGGAGGAACACCAGUGGCGAAGGCGACUUACUGGUCUGUGAUUGACGCUGAGGCUCGAAAGCGUGGGUAGCGAAC